AGGUAUUUAGUCCAAAAAAAGACCUUUGAUUUCGGCUCAAAAAACUGUGGUUUAAAUCCACAAUUACCUU
Molecule: transfer RNA, 70 nt
Filed under: Esox masquinongy (muskellunge)
Lineage: Eukaryota; Metazoa; Chordata; Actinopteri; Esociformes; Esocidae
Description: tRNA-Arg
Rfam family: tRNA
About the family: Transfer RNA (tRNA) molecules are approximately 80 nucleotides in length. Their secondary structure includes four short double-helical elements and three loops (D, anti-codon, and T loops). Further hydrogen bonds mediate the characteristic L-shaped molecular structure. tRNAs have two regions of fundamental functional importance: the anti-codon, which is responsible for specific mRNA codon recognition, and the 3' end, to which the tRNAs corresponding amino acid is attached (by aminoacyl-tRNA synthetases). tRNAs cope with the degeneracy of the genetic code in two manners: having more than one tRNA (with a specific anti-codon) for a particular amino acid; and 'wobble' base-pairing, i.e. permitting non-standard base-pairing at the 3rd anti-codon position.
Source: RNAcentral